RNAcentral lists this ribosomal RNA (458 nucleotides) under uncultured bacterium. RNAcentral describes it as "partial 16S ribosomal RNA". It matches the Rfam family "Bacterial small subunit ribosomal RNA", at positions 338 to 795 of the family's 1533-position model. The record is from RNAcentral.
CCUACGGGGGGCAGCAGUGAGGAAUAUUGGUCAAUGGGCGAGAGCCUGAACCAGCCAAGUCGCGUGAGGGAGUACUGCCCUAUGGGUUGUAAACCUCUUUUGUCGGGGAGCAAAAGCCGGACGUGUCCGGCUGUGAGAGUACCCGAAGAAAAAGCAUCGGCUAACUUCGUGCCGGCGGCCGCGGUUAUAGGGGGGAUGCGAGCUUUUACCGGUUUUAUUGGGUUUAAAGGGGGCGCAGGCGGAUUUUUAAGUCGGCGGGAAAAUCGUGGGGUUAAACCCCAGCCAGCCGUUGAAACUGGGGAGCUAGAGUGUGCGAGAGGUAGGCGGAAUGCGUGGUGUAGCGGUGAAAUGCAUAGAUAUGACGAAGAACCCCGAUUGCGAAGGCAGCAUACUGGUGCACAACUGACGCUGAGGCACGAAAGCGUGGGUAUCGAACAGGAUUAGAUACCCUGGUAGUC